Molecule: non-coding RNA, 159 nt
Filed under: Alphaproteobacteria bacterium
Lineage: Bacteria; Pseudomonadati; Pseudomonadota; Alphaproteobacteria
Description: 6S RNA
Rfam family: 6S / SsrS RNA
About the family: E. coli 6S RNA was the first non coding RNA to be sequenced, but its function was unknown until recently. It consists of 184 nucleotides that fold into an extended hairpin structure with a large single-stranded internal bulge. The 6S RNA specifically associates with RNA polymerase holoenzyme containing the sigma70 specificity factor.
Source: RNAcentral
GGUGAUCUGCAGCGUGCGACAGAACGUUUAUCCUACCGACCGUAUAUCACCACGAGGGAGCUGCCUCUGAUGAGGGCCGUGGCCUUUUUCAUGCGGUGCCCACCUGAUUUUUCGGGUCAGUGGGGAUAUUUACGCGCUGACGGCGCAAGCGGAGCCGCC